UCGGAGAUUUUGUUCACAUCAGCAGAGUGCUCACACCGUUCUAGAGGCUCAACUGAAACACAAGUCUUCUGAUAUAUACAACAUUCACUUACCGAAUUCCCAGGAAGAAACCCAGUGAAAAACUAAAGAAAAAGAAUCUCUUACGAUAACAACAAAUUAAAGAUAUAACACGGAAGUAAUACUUGAGUUAAAGGAAACUUAAGUCCCCCAAAAUUAAUACAGGUGGACUUUUUUAAAUCCGAUUUCAUAAUGGAAAACCAAACCGAUUCAAAAGAGGAACAAUUUUUCAGGCGAAAGCCAAAAACAGAGGAAGUCGAGAAUGUUAGGGUUGAUAUUAACAGUUUAGCUCUUGGUAAAAGACUUAAAGUAUUUAUUUGGUGCGUGAUGUGCAUUGAUAUUUUUAUUUUGUUGUGUUUUCUAGCAUUUCUAAUAUUCAUUUUCUAUUGGUUGUUUUUUUAACAGCAAUUUUCAAUAAAGUAUAGCAAAUAUAUUCCAAAUUGCAUAUUAUUAUUCCUGUAUGUGUAGUUUUUUUUAAGAUAUGUAAAAUAAAUAACGUAUUUCCAAACCGUAA
This is a long non-coding RNA of Drosophila ficusphila, 571 nucleotides long. RefSeq lists it as uncharacterized. The transcript has 2 exons. NCBI's taxonomy places the organism in Eukaryota, Metazoa, Arthropoda, Insecta, Diptera, Drosophilidae. The record is from RefSeq and is a predicted model, not a curated record.